GAAAUGCGAUACGUAAUGUGAAUUGCAGAAUUCAGUGAAUCAUCGAGUCUUUGAACGCACAUUGCGCCCUCUGGUAUUCCGGGGGGCAUGCCUGUCCGAGCGUCAUUGCUGCCCUCAAGCACGGCUUGUGUGUUGGGUCGUCGUCCCCGUUCACGGGGACGGGCCCGAAAGGCAGCGGCGGCACUGUCCGAUCCUCGAGCGCAUGGGGCUUUGUCACCCGCUCGACUAGGGUCGGUCAGGCGUCCGCCGGCGUCCCCCAACCAAUUUUCUUAGGUUGACCUCGGAUCAGGUAGGGAUACCCGCUGAACUUAA
RNAcentral lists this unclassified non-coding RNA (312 nucleotides) under uncultured Aspergillus. RNAcentral's name for it is "sequence contains ITS1". The stretch from base 1 to 105 matches the Rfam family "5.8S ribosomal RNA", at positions 50 to 154 of the family's 154-position model. The record is from RNAcentral. Lineage: Eukaryota; Fungi; Ascomycota; Eurotiomycetes; Eurotiales; Aspergillaceae.